GACGAACGCUGGCGGCGUGCCUAAUACAUGCAAGUAGAACGCUGAAGGAGGAGCUUGCUUCUCUGGAUGAGUUGCGAACGGGUGAGUAACGCGUAGGUAACCUGCCUGGUAGCGGGGGAUAACUAUUGGAAACGAUAGCUAAUACCGCAUAAGAGUAGAUGUUGCAUGACAUUUACUUAAAAGGUGCAAUUGCAUCACUACCAGAUGGACCUGCGUUGUAUUAGCUAGUUGGUGGGGUAACGGCCCACCAAGGCGACGAUACAUAGCCGACCUGAGAGGGUGAUCGGCCACACUGGGACUGAGACACGGCCCAGACUCCUACGGGAGGCAGCAGUAGGGAAAUUUUUGGCA
RNAcentral lists this ribosomal RNA (351 nucleotides) under Streptococcus mitis. RNAcentral describes it as "bacterial SSU rRNA". It matches the Rfam family "Bacterial small subunit ribosomal RNA", at positions 28 to 370 of the family's 1533-position model. The record is from RNAcentral. Lineage: Bacteria; Bacillati; Bacillota; Bacilli; Lactobacillales; Streptococcaceae.